Molecule: ribosomal RNA, 111 nt
Filed under: uncultured eukaryote
Lineage: Eukaryota
Description: partial small subunit ribosomal RNA
Rfam family: Eukaryotic small subunit ribosomal RNA
Source: RNAcentral
UCGCUCCUACCGAUUGAAUGAUCCGGUGAAAUCAGUGGACUAUGAUGCAGUUUGAGAAAUCGGAUUGCGUCGUUGGGAAAUUGAUUAAACCUUAUCAUUUAGAGGAAGGAG